Molecule: ribosomal RNA, 76 nt
Filed under: Crenosoma vulpis
Lineage: Eukaryota; Metazoa; Nematoda; Chromadorea; Rhabditida; Crenosomatidae
Description: partial 18S ribosomal RNA
Rfam family: Eukaryotic small subunit ribosomal RNA
Source: RNAcentral
AGUUCAAUCGCAAUGGCUUGAACCGGGUAAAAGUCGUAACAAGGUAUCUGUAGGUGAACCUGCAGAUGGAUCAUCG